This 500-nucleotide ribosomal RNA is filed under the name uncultured bacterium. RNAcentral's name for it is "partial 16S ribosomal RNA". It matches the Rfam family "Bacterial small subunit ribosomal RNA", at positions 29 to 523 of the family's 1533-position model. The record is from RNAcentral.
AUUGAACGCUGGCGGCAUGCCUUACACAUGCAAGUCGAACGGCAGCACGGGAGCAAUCCUGGUGGCGAGUGGCGAACGGGUGAGUAAUAUAUCGGAACGUGCCCAGUCGUGGGGGAUAACGUAGCGAAAGCUACGCUACUACAGCAUACGAUCUAUGGAUGAAAGCGGGGGAUCGCAAGACCUCGCGCGAUUGGAGCGGCCGAUAUCAGAUUAGGUAGUUGGUGAGGUAAGGGCGCACCAAGCCGACGAUCUGUAGCUGGUCUGAGAGGCAGACCAGCCACACUGGGACUGGGACAAGGCCCAGACGCCUACGGGAGGCAGGUGUGGGGAAUGUUGGACAAUGGGCGCAAGCCUGAUCCAGCAAUGCCGCGUGCAGGAUGAAGGCCUUCGGGUUGUAAACUGCUUUUGUACGGAACGAAACGGCGAGCUCUAAUACAGUUUGCUAAUGACGGUACCGUAAGAAUAAGCACCGGCUAACUACGUGCCAGCAGCCGCGGUAA